Molecule: ribosomal RNA, 389 nt
Filed under: uncultured bacterium
Lineage: Bacteria
Description: bacterial SSU rRNA
Rfam family: Bacterial small subunit ribosomal RNA
Source: RNAcentral
GACGAACGCUGGCGGCGUGCUUAACACAUGCAAGUCGAGCGGUAAAGGCCCUUUCGGGGGUACACGAGCGGCGAACGGGUGAGUAACACGUGGGUGACCUGCCCUCAGCUCUGGGAUAAGCCUGGGAAACCGGGUCUAAUACCGGAUAUGACUCCAUGACGCAUGUUGUGGGGUGGAAAGCCUUGUGCGGCUGAGGAUGGGGCCCGCGGCCUAUCAGCUUGUUGGUGGGGGAUGGCCUACCAAGGCGACGACGGGUAGCCGGCCUGAGAGGGCGACCGGCCACACUGGGACUGAGACACGGCCCAGACUCCUACGGGAGGCAGCAGUGGGGAAUCUUGCGCAAUGGGCGAAAGCCUGACGCAGCGACGCCGCGUGAGGGAUGACGGCCU